This 70-nucleotide transfer RNA is filed under the name Bos taurus (domestic cattle). It matches the Rfam family "tRNA". From Rfam's summary of the family: Transfer RNA (tRNA) molecules are approximately 80 nucleotides in length. Their secondary structure includes four short double-helical elements and three loops (D, anti-codon, and T loops). The record is from Rfam by way of RNAcentral. Lineage: Eukaryota; Metazoa; Chordata; Mammalia; Artiodactyla; Bovidae. RNAcentral also lists the same sequence under 3 other names.
UCCCCAGUGGCUCAGUGGUAAAGAAUCUGCCUGCAAUGCAGGAGAUACAGGUUCAAUCCCUGGUCAGGAA